GCGUGGUUAGCUCAGUCCGGAUAGAGCGUUGGCCUCCGGAGCCAAAGGUCACAGGUUCGAAUCCUGUACCGCGCGCCA
Molecule: transfer RNA, 78 nt
Filed under: Magnetococcales bacterium
Lineage: Bacteria; Pseudomonadati; Pseudomonadota; Magnetococcia; Magnetococcales
Description: tRNA-Arg
Rfam family: tRNA
About the family: Transfer RNA (tRNA) molecules are approximately 80 nucleotides in length.
Source: RNAcentral